UAUAAACUACCUUCGUUCUCAUUCAGUUCAAUCACUCACUCUUCUGUUCUGAUCUAGGGUUUUACAGCUUUCACUUACUCCAUAAGAGUAAGCUCUGCCCCUUCGAGUUUACAGUUUUCAGUUUCUAUUAGAUUUGUUUGUUUUCAUCUAAUUUCCUUUGGCCUAUGAUUAAAAUUCUUAAAUAUAGACAAGCAUAUGUCUGAAUUUUCAUCAUGUUGAAUACCUAAUCUUCUCUAUGAGGCCAAUUACAUCUAUUUUUUUUUUUUAUGUUUUUCUAUCCAGAUUUCUACUUUUUGUGCUCAAUAAUUCAAACAAAAAACUGGGUCAUAUGAUGAUUAGAAGCAUAGUUCAAAUGAAAUCUAUGUGAUUACAAAACUUCUUUUUUAGUCUUUCGCUCCUAUCUGAUGACUCUUUUUAUUACUAUUAAAAAUCUGAUUUUUAAGCAAUUAAUUGUUGUAUUUUUUUUGAAAAAUUGAAAUGGUUAAUGGACAAUGACGAUUUAUCUAUUGGUCUCGUUCGUCGUAAUGGUGUUUAAACCACCUUGCCGACCAUUCUGAUAUAUCACCACCCAUAAACUGAGUCCUAUUACUAUACCUUUUUUUUUGUUUAUUUUUCAAUUUAGUUCUUCGUUUCUGGUGCUGUGAUGAAAAAAAUCUUGUGUCGGAGGCUUUUUGUCGCUGAUGGUUUACACAACCCUCUAAGAAGUUCUGAGCACUUUUUUUGUUUUCAAUUUCAGUAUUUUUUCUGAUUAUUUAGUAGUAGUAAUUGAAUGAUAAGUAAUUUAUUUUGAGGAUGAAUGAAGUGAUGAUAGAAUUCAUAUGUUAAUUCACUGAAUUACAUUUUUAUGAUGUUAAGAGUGAAUCCCGACAGGUUCUGAUCGUUUAUUAGUUAAUUAAUCCUCCAUUAAUUGUGAUUUUGCUUUGUUAAUUUUAUGUCUUGUGGGCAAAUGAUGAAAUUUUUAUAUCGUAAAUGGGUAAUUUGCGUCUGAAUCUUUCUUUGAUGUUAUAACCUUGGAGAACUGAUGCCCUUUAAACUUUUUACUUUGCAUUUUGUUUUCAUAAUGCCAAUUAGCAGAGCAAAGGUGUCUUUCACAAAUGACACACAUUUGCAUUGAAGGUUGGCUAUAUAUAUAUAGCGAUUCUCCGUGCCUUUCAAGCUUUUUUCUCGUAUUGAUUACGGCCUCGAACAAAUUGCUACAUUUUCUCCCUUCACUGUUGUGCUUAUUUGGUACCUUAGUUGCUUUGUUUUUAACGUAGACAAUUUGCAGAGCAAGGGUGUCUUUCAAAAUGACAUACAUUUGCAUUGAAGGUUGGCCAUAUGUAUAGCGAUUCUCCGUGCCUUUCAAGCUUUCUUCUCGUAUUGAUUACGGCCUCGAACAAAUUGCUACAUCCACCAAUUAUUAUGGUACAUUUAUCUAUAAAUUUGGUUAUAUAAAUGACUUGAUCUUGACAAUGAGUUUGUAUUAUCUAAUUUUAGUUUAAGUUUCUUAAUUAUGCAUAAACUAUUAAAUUUGUGAUCUUAGUAGUUACUCUCUGUAGUAAAUUUGUUUAUUAUCAUUGGCCGAUGAUUAAAUUUCUAAUAUAGACAAGCAUAUGACUGAAUUUUCAUUAUGUUGAAUACCUAAUCUUCUCUAUGAGGCCAAUCAUAUUUUUUCCAUAUUGUUAUGCUUCCUGUGUUCAAUAGUUUUAUAAAAAUAGUUUUUUUUUGUGUUGUCAUUGUUUAUAAACGGGUCAUAUGAUGAUUAAAAGCAUAGUUCAAAUGAAUUCUUUGUGAUUAUAAAACAAUCUUUAUAGUCUUUCGCUCCUAUCUGAUGACUCCUUUUUUAUUUGUGUUAAAGGUAUGAUUUGUUUUUGAAAAUUUUGAAAGGGUUAAUGGACUAUGACGACUUAUAUCUAUUGGUCUCGUUCGUCGUAAUGGUGUUUAAACCACCUUGCCGACCAUUCUGAUAUAUCACCACCCAUAAACUGAGUCCUAUUACUAAACUUUGCUAUUAAUUCUUUUAUUUUCCUGUUCAUUUUGAGAUGUAAUGGUUAUUUUUUACUUUUAUGGUGCUUUGAUGAAAAAAUCUUGUGUCGGAGACUCUGGUCUGUGAUGGCUUACACAACCCUCUAAGAAGUUCUGAGCACUAUUUUUUUUUUAUUUCCAAACACGGAGUAUUGUUUUUCUCGCAAGUAUUCAAUUUUUUAAGAUUAUUUGUUAUGUUAAUGUCUUGUGAGGAGUAACGAAGUGAUGAUAGAAUUCAUAAGUCUGUCAAUCCACUGAAAUACAUUUUAUGAUGUAAAGUGUGAAUCCCGACAGGUUCUGAUCGUUAAGUGAAUAAUCCUCCAUUUACUUUUCCUUUUUGCGCUUACUCAUUUUUGAACUUUAGUUUUAUGGGCAACUGAUGAAUCUUAUAUAUCGUAAAUGGGUAAUUUGCGUCUGAAUCUUUUCAUUGAUGCUAUCAACCUUGGAGAACUGAUGCCCUUGAAAAAUUUUAUUUUGUAUUUGAAUGAUUUUGAUGUGGGCUAGUAACUUUUGGAUGAUUGGUCUGAUAAGAGUAUAGGAGUGGGAAAUUAGGGUGAUCAGUGAUGGAGUGUAGGCCUCCCGUGAUGUGCCCUUGUUUCCUAGAGAAUGGCAAGUAACUAAUGUGGGAUCGUGUAACCGACAUUGCAAUCGAUGAUGACAACCCUUCCAAUACGAUUCAACAUCGGUUACUUUUCUACCAACUAAGUUAUGCAGCUGUCUUGGAGAUUGUAAGUUAACAGGCAGUUUUUUUCUGGGAUUUGAUACAUUUGGUCCACCCAUGUUGAACCAAAGAGGAAAUGAUGUGUAUUUAUUGUCAUCUGACUUGCAUUCCAUAUGUGGAUGUUAAAGUGGUGAAUGAUUCAUUAUAACUGAUCCUCUCAGUGUAAGUUGAAAAUAUCGUUUUGAUUAUGUUAAAUAUGUUCAGAAGAUUGCUUAUGAAAAGUAUUGUCUUUUAUUUAUUUGUGAUCAUUGGCUUGUUGUGUAGUUUCCUAAUUCACCAAAGAAGAUGCAGCUGAUAGAUGUAAAUUUAGAGUUUGAGACGUAGCAACAGAAAAAUUCUAUUGGAAGGCUUGUUAGUUGUAAAUUAUACUGAUGUAUUAAAACCUAUGUCAGAAUGUAACUGGCUCCAUAUUU
This 3138-nucleotide long non-coding RNA is filed under the name Solanum tuberosum (potato). Lineage: Eukaryota; Viridiplantae; Streptophyta; Magnoliopsida; Solanales; Solanaceae. The record is from RNAcentral.